CUUGGCAUACUGUAAGAUAAAUCAGUGAGGAAAAACAGAAAAGAUAAUCGUUAUUUAUUUUAAUGAAUUAAAUGCGCCUUUACCUCCUUGGCUUUUUUGUUCAGGUACAACAUCUCAAGCCAGGAAUAAAUGUUUCGUUAGAUGACAGACAUCGAGCAUCUGAGUCUUCAUCGUUAAGCAAUGUAUGUAUGACUUUUACUUCAAUGUGUUAUUAGUAGAUCAGAAUAGAUAGUGUUUCAUACUUGUGAAGAAGUUAUUGAAUUUUGGUUAUGUCUAGAUCCGUAUGUAUUCUUGUGUUACCUCUUGACUUUAGGCACAAACCCAUCAACAAUUAAUCUAUUACGUAUUUUAGUUUUUGAAAUUAUUGGACUUACCAUUCAAUGUUUGCACCAUUGUUUAGGUCACCGUAAGACAGUUUGGUUUUGGAUUACAUAUUCAUUCAAAUAAUAAGUACAAAUUCCCAUAUCAUAACUUUGGCUUCAGCCCAAAAUGUUAAGCCUAAAAAUUUGAUGCAGGCCACAAUGGAAGAAGUAUAAUUAAAAUUUAAGACAUUGGUAUACACCAUGCACUUACUAUGGUAUUAGAGAUUCAAUAUCACAGGUAUAUACCGGUUUUUUUUCUACAUGCUUCAUCUGGUUAAGUAGUCUGAUGACAUCUGUCAUUUUGGUGAUUAAUUAUCCAUAGUUAGAAUGAUUGAUUAAACCAAAAUCUGAUUUUUAACUGUAACAUACCUGAGCAUUGCUUACCUUUAUAUGCUUCUUGUUGUAGUAUGUCCUUGGUAUGAGACUCAAAGUAGUAAUUUUGAGAUCCAAUAAUCCUACAUCUGUUAAUUUUGUGAUUAAUUACCACCUAGUUAGAAUGAUGGAUUAGCCCAAAAUCUGAUUUACAACUAUGACAUACCUGAGCCUUGUUUAUCUUUUUAUGCUUGUUAUUGUAGUAUGUCCUUGGUAGCAAACUCUAGUAAUUAGGAAAAUCUUCCGAUGAUCCUUUUGAUCCUUUCACCUCCUUUCUCUUAGUAUUAUACGCAAAAAUUAAUCUAAUAUCAUUGUUCAGUGGGCCAUAUUUUGUGCCUUCCACAACCUUAAUAUUUCUAAAUGGAUAAAUAGAUUUCUCAGUUAUCCUUUGAUCUAUAAGUAUCUAUCCGAUUUUUACGUAUGGUAGCAUGAGUUGUUUGGUCCUCUAUCAAAAUAACUAAAAUAUAUACUUAUCCACUAUUGUUUGAACCAUAGAAUAAUCUGCAUUUAAAAUUGUAUAGGAUAAACCUGAUCAUCUGUUAAGAUCACAUCAAGACUCACUUAUCGAUUGUGUUUGGAACAAUAGAACAGUCUACCAUUAAAUAUGUAUAGCAUAAACCUGUUCAUCCAUCAAGAUCACAUCAAGGCUCAUAAGUUCAUCAGUUGUAGGAUUGAUUAUAUCCCAUGUUCUUGUUACUUUCGCUUAAAAAUCCCAGUUUUGGUCUCUUGUUGAAGUCUCCCAGCUUCUUGUAUUCGCAGGCGUUUUUACUUGAAAAGGAUUAAAACACACUGCUUCAAAAGGAUAGAAAAAGUAGUUGUCGAUUGAUAAUGUGCACAUGAAGAUUGUAGCUGACAAAAGUGAGUUCAUAUAAUAAUAAUUACUAACCAUGUUGAUUCAGGUGAGAAGGAAACUCAGACGGUUGAGUGUGACUUACGUAGAAAUCGAGUUGCAUGCCACUUCAUAAUUUGGGUUGGCUUUGAUAUUUGCAGAGGUAGAAAUCGAGUUGCAUGCCACUUCAUAAUUUGGGUUGGCUUCGAUAUUUGCAG
RNAcentral lists this long non-coding RNA (1781 nucleotides) under Triticum aestivum (bread wheat). RNAcentral describes it as "long non-coding RNA (TAES_LNC024279)". The record is from RNAcentral. Lineage: Eukaryota; Viridiplantae; Streptophyta; Magnoliopsida; Poales; Poaceae.